AUACAGAGGGUGCGAGCGUUAAUCGGAAUUACUGGGCGUAAAGCGCGCGUAGGCGGUCUAUUAAGUCAGAUGUGAAAUCCCAGGGCUCAACCUUGGAACUGCAUCUGAUACUGGCAGACUAGAGUUUCGGAGAGGGAAGUAGAAUUUCAGGUGUAGCGGUGAAAUGCAUAGAGAUCUGAAGGAAUACCAGUGGCGAAGGCGACUUCCUGGCCAAAAACUGACGCUGAGGUGCGAAAGCGUGGGUAGCAAACAGGAUUAGAAACCCGAGUAGUCC
Molecule: ribosomal RNA, 274 nt
Filed under: uncultured bacterium
Lineage: Bacteria
Description: partial 16S ribosomal RNA
Rfam family: Bacterial small subunit ribosomal RNA
Source: RNAcentral